Molecule: ribosomal RNA, 509 nt
Filed under: uncultured bacterium
Lineage: Bacteria
Description: bacterial SSU rRNA
Rfam family: Bacterial small subunit ribosomal RNA
Source: RNAcentral
CUGGCUCAGGAUGAACGCUAGCUACAGGCUUAACACAUGCAAGUCGGGGGGCAGCACUGGUGUGGCAACACUCCUGGUGGCGACCGGCGCACGGGUGAGUAACGCGUAUCCAACCUGCCCCACAGUAGGGGAUAGCCCGGCGAAAGUCGGAUUAAUACCCUAUGUUUUCCCUUGAGAGCAUUUGACGGGGAACAAAGGUUUACCGCUAUGGGAUGGGGAUGCGUCCGAUUAGGCAGACGGCGGGGUAACGGCCCACCGUGCCUUCGAUCGGUAGGGGUUCUGAGAGGAAGGUCCCCCACAUUGGAACUGAGACACGGUCCAAACUCCUACGGGAGGCAGCAGUGAGGAAUAUUGGUCAAUGGGCGCGAGCCUGAACCAAGCCAAGUAGCGUGCAGGACGGCGGCCCUAUGGGUUGUAAACUGCUUUUGCCGGGGAAUAAAGUGCGGGACGUGUCCCGUUUUGUAUGUACCCGGAGAAUAAGGACCGGCUAAUUCCGUGCCAGCCGCCGC